Molecule: ribosomal RNA, 421 nt
Filed under: Gephyrocharax valencia
Lineage: Eukaryota; Metazoa; Chordata; Actinopteri; Characiformes; Stevardiidae
Description: partial 12S ribosomal RNA
Rfam family: Bacterial small subunit ribosomal RNA
Source: RNAcentral
GGGAUUAGAUACCCCACUAUGCUUAGCCUUAAACCUAGAUGUUAAAUUUACAAGCAACAUCCGCCAGGGUACUACAAGCGCUAGCUUAAAACCCAAAGGACUUGACGGUGUCUCAGACCCACCUAGAGGAGCCUGUUCUAGAACCGAUAAUCCCCGUUAAACCUCACCACCCCUUGUUUUCCCCGCCUAUAUACCGCCGUCGCAAGCUUACCCUGUGAAGGUCCCAUAGUAAGCAAAAUGGGUAAAUCCCAAAACGUCAGGUCGAGGUGUAGCUCACGAGGUGGGAAGAAAUGGGCUACAUUUUCUAUAUCAGAAUAAUACGAACGGUAUCAUGAAAUUGAUACCCGAAGGUGGAUUUAGUAGUAAAAAACAAAUAGAGAGUCUUUUUGAACCAGGCUCUGAGACGCGCACACACCGCCCC